AUCGUGGUGGCUGCGCUUGCGAGGACCCUGAGGUAGAUUGGGUGGUUUCAACAGGAACGCAUCCACUGUCUGAGAGUUUAAACUUGAUUUUGUGAGGGGACGAACAGCGUGACAAUUAAAAGAAGAUCUGGGAAUCGUAAGUACUGACAGAAUACCUGGAGGGAAGGUGGGACUGGAGAAUAGUUUGUGAAACAGAUCCUGCUGAGGAUGAAUCCAGAACUUCCUGAAGGGUUCCGCUUCUGCUGUGUAGGGACAAGGUUGUAAAUAGACAAGCCACAGGCACCUGCAAAUGGUAAGUGUGGUAGAGAGGGGCUGGAAUUGCCUGUUGGUGUAUCUGUGGGAAGCAGCUGCUAUCCUUGAGGAAGAAAAGAUGGAGAAGGUAAGUGGCUAUCAACCUGUCAGAGACAACACAUUCUGUGAAGUUGUACUCUUUCAUUUCUGACACUGUGGUUCUUAAUAUCUGUCCUAAACCUGGCAGUCAUUGAGGUUCGCAAAGUAUCUCCUUCUAUGUGACAGUAAAACUGGAAUUACUAUCAGAAUGGAAUCCAUUCCUGCUAGAGUAAAACCAUGAAAAGAAAUCGCAGUUUUGAUUAUCUGCUUAUCAUUUUUAAUAGAUCACAG
This 621-nucleotide long non-coding RNA is filed under the name Homo sapiens (human). RNAcentral's name for it is "non-protein coding TMEM161B-AS1:18". Lineage: Eukaryota; Metazoa; Chordata; Mammalia; Primates; Hominidae. The record is from RNAcentral.